CGAAGCGUGAUGACGUCAUGGCGCACGCGCGUCUCUCAUGGGGAGAAAAGGGAGGCCUGGCGGAGGAGGCGGCGCAGCAUCCGAAGUUAGAGCGGGAAACAUUGUUUGACAUUAUUCGCCGUCCCUUUUCCUUCCCCGACCAAAGUGAGGUACACCUCAGCAAGCGAGAGUCCAAAAGUAGCAGGCUAAAACCCGGAAUCUCAAUCAGUGGCAGAUGCCGGAUGAGAGACUCUCCCCUGGGCACACAGAAGACUGGACGGCUUGACAGGCUCUGAACAGACUGCGCUCUGGCACCACAAGAUGCAGAGCCAACCUUAGGAAAUGGGGCUACAAAGUGAAGACCACGACAUGCGAGUGUGGAGAUGAGCAAACCACAGAUCACCUAUUACAAUGCCACAUGCACAAUGAAGGACCUUCUUACAGCAACAUCAGAGGCACUCCAAGUAGCCAGCUACUGGUCAAAGGACAUUUAGUAUAAUGCCAAGUUGUUGUUGUUUUAAGCUUUGGGUUUUCAAAUAUAUUACAACUUGUACCCUCGGUUCGCUUCUGACAUGAUAAAUAAAUAAAUGGCAGACAUCCUAAGAGGUUGAGGGGUCUCUUGGAAACUAUGUAAGUGAAACUAUGUAAGUGAGAUAUUCCACCUGUGAAAUAUCCAGGGUAGGGGAAAGAAUUCUUGUUUGCUUGAGGUACAUGUCAAUGUUGCAAUUUGCCACCUUGAUUAGCAUUUUAAUGGACCUGACAUAGAUGUGAGCAAAAUGUCAGGAGAGGAUGCUUCUGGAACAUGGCCAUACAGCCCAGAAAACUCACAGCAACCCAGUGAUUUUGGCCAUGAAAGCCUUCGACAACACAGUAGCAGCCAUAGCAGACAUAGUGGAAGUGACCUUGCCAAAAUGUCAUAGCCAGCAGGCAAAGCCUAUGGCAUGGGACGGGAAGGGACGGGAUUUGACUUGGUUUGCAGGUGGAAACUGGAAACUGAGGUGCCCACCACUGUUAAUCUAAUCCAGUGGUUCUCAACCCGUGGGUCUCCAGAUGUUUUAGCCUUCAACUCCCAAAAAUCCUGACAAAUGGUAAACUGUCUGGGAUUUCUGGGACUUGUAGGUCAAAUCACUGGGGAUCCACAGGUUAAAAUUCACUGAUCUAAUCCAAACCCUGCCAAAUAAACCAUGGAAUAGGAGCAAAAAGAAGAUGUGUCACUGUUAGACUUUAUAUGAACAAGACUCUUUCCGAUGAACAAGUUAAAGCUCAAUUAGUGCAAAAUCUACAGACUCCAUAUCCAGGAUAUGUAUUUCCUGUGGAUAAAAAUAGGCAUCUAAGAUUUCAACCCAAAUAGGCAUCUAAGAUUUCAACCCAAACGGAUUCCCCUGGUUAACCUACUCAUUUCAUGUACUGUACAAGGUGCACUCUGUAAGUACAAUGUGGUGUUUGGAGGAGAAGUUGGGGCGAAAGGUGCUCAUCAGAAGCUUGAUACAUUGGUUGCUAAACCAUUGGCGCAAUGGAAAAAUGCAAUACAAGUCUUCAAUAGACACCAAAAAACAAAGUACCAUCCGAACAACUUGUGCUUGACUGAAAACGUCUUGCUAAUUCACUGUAGAAAAUGUUUGAUGAUAAAGGAAAUAAGAAGAAAACAAGAAAAUAGAAAGAAACUUCUGCCAGUUGUGAAAAUUAUUGUCCUUUAUGGCCGAUAAGAACUGGCUUGAAGAGGGAGCAAUGACUUGGGACCUAUUACCUGUGAAGAACCUUUGCACAAUGGUGGUAAUUUCAGGGUCUUGUUAAGAUAUCAUGCCAGAUCAGCAGGCACUGGCCUCAAAAGUCGUUUUGGGGGGAAAGGUUUCAACCCCUCCUGAAUGUUUUUUCUGGCUACGGGCCUGUUCAUAGUUGUGUACAUAUGAGGCCUGCCUCACAAUGUCUCCGUGGCAACACGACUUUCUUGGUGGCAUCUUCCUUCUUUCCUUCCUCUUUUGCCCCCCCUCGCCCAGUGACAUCACAGAGGGUAAUUCCACCUAACAAUAGCCAAUCCACCACCUUAUCACAUUGAGAAUUUUCCCAGUCGUAGUAAUAUUGAAGACCCCCCAACUCCACCCCUAAUAAAAAGAACACCUAAAUUGUAUCCCGUGAUUUGUAGUUUUUCUAAGGAUGGAAGGACUGCUGCUGGUCCUUCUCAACAUUUGCGUAAAAAUGUGUGUUAAAUGCGUAAAAACAGCAGUUCUUCAGAAGUGUCUUUCAGCGCCCAAAAAUAUAUAUAUACAUAAAACCACUUGUGUCAUAUGAUGCACUCAAGAGACAAAACAAAGUAGACUUUGGUAAAAAUAACAUAUUUGGUUUACUCAUGACCUUCAUGUGUUCAGCAUACACAGGUACACAACGUAUCAGUCAGUUACAGAUAUGCUUGAGAUCGUUUCUGUGCCAGAACAUCUCUUUUACAAUAAGUGUAGUGUUUGCAAGUCUGUGAUCUGAGCAGUCCCAAAGUCUAAAGAAGUCUGAUGGAGUCUGUGCUUGUCUCAGAGCGGAUCACAUGGUCUACACCUUCCACAGCUGCUCAGUAAAAACAUAGAGCAAGGAAAGAAAGCUACAUUUCAGAACUUACAAUAAGUAAGCAACAGGAUUAUAGAUUUAAAAAAAUACUAGAGGAAGCUCGAAAAAGGCUGUAAUUUCCAACACAACAGAGCUCCUGAACUGGCAACAUGCAUUUUUCUUGGGCUGGUCCGCAGCCAGCUGAUCCUCUCCCCCUCCCAGCCAAGAAGCUGGCCAGAUGGCCACAAAAUAAUCCAAGCAUCUCCAUUUCCCAAGCCCGUUACUCUGUAUCCCCCCUUCCCUCGUUACUAGGCAUCUCUUCCCAUUACUAUUAUUAUUUUUAUUAUUUUUCUCUUCUGUAAACAUGUGCGUGAAAGGAUGAACAAAAUAUAACAAAACAUCACUGAUUGACCCCCACCCCCACCCCCCAAGCUGCUGCUCAGCAGUGGUGAGACUCCCACAUUUCACCCCUUUCCUUCUUCAUAUGUGGUUCCCACCAAGCACCACACAACGUUUAUUCUUUAUUUUUUAUCUAUUUCUUUAUUUUUAUUAUCAUUAUUAAAUGAAAGCAAAUAUACAUGAACCUGGAAACUAGGAACUCCAGUAACCUCUCUCCUGAGCAAUUUCCAGAUAUCAUAUCCACACUCCAGAUGACAGCCAGAGAUGGGCCAUAAUCUGGAUCUCAGGAGGAAACCACCCGUUCAUGGCCCUGGAACUUACUUUUGGAGAUCUUGGACAGUCACGGGACAAAAUUCUUGACCGAAACUGUGAUUGCAAUCCCAUCUGCAAAUCUACAUUUCAAGACUCUGUCUUUGGACAUGAAAACCCAUUUGUGACACCAACCCUCUAUUGUGUCAUCCGGCAAGACCAAGUAUUUAUAUAAUCCAGUCAGAUCGGCUUUGGACUUUUCCUUUGUCCACUGCAUUCCUGGACUGCACACUCUGCUGGCAUGGUCUCCAGAGCUCCCUCCCUCCCUCAGACCGCCUCCACCAGCUGAUUGGAGGUUUCCGGCCCAGCUGGGAGGAGAUCCUCAUCUACAUCACCAGUGCCUCUGCCAAUCAGGGCAACUGCUGGCAUAGACACGCCUUCCAACCAAUCAGAAGCCAGGGAAAGCACAGACCAGCAUCACCAAGCUGGCCAAUCAAGGAGGAGGGAAGGAGAUUUCGAAAUGGGACAAUAUCAGUGAAUGUAAAUGUAUGUGUAUAAAGAUGUCUGCUUGUGAAUACAUUUUUACACUUGUACCCUUCAAGCACCUGUCCUGUACAAGUGUCCCUUUUGCGCAAAUUGAAUAAAGUAUCUGUCAUUUGCCUUCA
This is a long non-coding RNA of Anolis carolinensis (green anole), 3824 nucleotides long. RefSeq lists it as uncharacterized. The record is from RefSeq and is a predicted model, not a curated record. The transcript is spliced from 2 exons. NCBI's taxonomy places the organism in Eukaryota, Metazoa, Chordata, Lepidosauria, Squamata, Anolidae.